Non-coding RNA from Chiloscyllium plagiosum (whitespotted bambooshark), 893 nucleotides. Lineage: Eukaryota; Metazoa; Chordata; Chondrichthyes; Orectolobiformes; Hemiscylliidae. The record is from RefSeq and is a predicted model, not a curated record.
ACCCACACCGACUCCGGUUCACAGUCUGACGCUGGCUACCCUCAGUACCUCAUCGCUCUCUCUGUGUCCAUCACAGCUGUCGUCUGUGUGGGGCUCAUUGCUGCGAUCAUCUGUUCACACAGAGGACGAUACAGAGGUGUGUCCACCACAGACACAGCAGAGAAUCCCACCAAAACCGCUCCCUCGAUGACAGAGCUACAGGCCAUUUAGAAUGGGCGCUGGGAGACCCACCCCACUUUGUUGGGAAGCACGGACUGGAGGUACACCAAGUCAGGAAGAGCAGGUGAUGCACCCCGGUGCUGAAUAGCAGCUGGACCUGACAAGGAACACAAGCCUCACACCCAGCAUCAGAGAACUCUGGAACAUCAAAGAAAGAGUUGGGCGUCAUGGAAUUGCCGGAUUAGGCUUGAGGCAUUGGGAAGUCAGGAGUGGAUGGAGAAGGAACUGAGGGAAGAGACACUUUGCAUUUCUGUAGCGACUUUUACCAUCCCACAAUGCUUCACAGCUAGUUUUUAUUCAGAAUGAGGCCAUCCACUGCCAUGGAGAGGAUGAGGGGAUGUUGAUUUGUACACAGCAAGAUCCCAUGACAAGGCAAUGUGACUCUGAUCAUCUGACAUGCUGACAUCCAAUAAACUCAGGGACACUUUGCUCCACUGAUCAAAUCUCCAGAUCUCUGGGGAUUCCCUCGGUGGAUUCCCACUGAGGAUCUGGAACUGAAAGUUGGAGUGAUAUUGGGAUAUGGUCAUUGAUAUGCAAAUCUAUCUGUGGUUGGCCAUUGUAGUCAACAGAAAUGUCAUACAAGAGUUGACCUAACAAUAUGUGAAUGAAAUAUACUUUGUAAGUAAUAUUUGUGCAGUUUUGUAAAUGGGAAGAAAUGGUGUAUAAAUAUCUAA